This 637-nucleotide ribosomal RNA is filed under the name Peniophora sp. MG15. RNAcentral describes it as "LSU rRNA". It matches the Rfam family "Eukaryotic large subunit ribosomal RNA", at positions 25 to 690 of the family's 3401-position model. The record is from RNAcentral. Lineage: Eukaryota; Fungi; Basidiomycota; Agaricomycetes; Russulales; Peniophoraceae.
CCGUUGAAAUAAGCAUAUCAAUAAGCGGAGGAAAAGAAACUAACAAGGAUUCCCCUAGUAACUGCGAGUGAAGCGGGAUGAGCUCAAAUUUAAAAUCUGGCGUCUUCGGCGUCCGAGUUGUAAUUUAGAGAAGCGUUUUCCGCGCUGGACCGUGUACAAGUCUCCUGGAACGGAGCGUCAUAGAGGGUGAGAAUCCCGUCUUUGACACGGACCCCCAGUGCUCUGUGAUACGCUCUCGAAGAGUCGAGUUGUUUGGGAAUGCAGCUCAAAAUGGGUGGUGAACUCCAUCUAAAGCUAAAUAUUGGCGAGAGACCGAUAGCGAACAAGUACCGUGAGGGAAAGAUGAAAAGCACUUUGGAAAGAGAGUGAAACAGUACGUGAAAUUGUUGAAAGGGAAACGCUUGAAGUCAGUCGCGUCUGCCGGGAUUCAGCCGCAAGGUGUACUUCUCGGUAGACGGGCCAGCAUCACUUUCGAUCAUCGGAAAAGGGCGAGUGGAAUGUGGCACCUCCGGGUGUGUUAUAGCCUCUCGUCGUAUACGGUGACCGGGAGUGAGGACCGCCUUUGUAGGAUGCUGGCGUAAUGGCUUUAAACGACCCGUCUUGAAACACGGACCAAGGAGUCUAACAUGCCCGCGAG